GCUCCCAGUCCUGAUUCUUUAUGCUGGAGCGAUAGCUCAAUUAACAAAUUCCAGAGAAAUUGUACCUUUAUAACAGUUGGCUGAGUUAACUCCUACUCCCCACCUCCCCUAAAAAGCACAAAGAAGGAAAAGAAACUAAUGUUAAUUUACCAUCUUUCAUUCAAUAGGCACUGUGCUAAGGGGGCACAGUUAUUAUUCCACAUGUAUUCUGUCAUUCAAUAAGAAAUCUACAUAGUUGUUGGUUGAUGAAGAGAAGAACACAUAGAGAAUGUCACAUUGUAGAUUUGUAGGUUAUCUGAGAUUGCCCUUAGGGUGUGCAGUGUUUGGCCUGCAUGAAUGCCUGCCGCAGCUGAGUCUACCUUUCCCUCCUUUCUUACCCUGUAUCCUGGAGUGACUAGACCACGGCCUGCCU
Molecule: long non-coding RNA, 412 nt
Filed under: Homo sapiens (human)
Lineage: Eukaryota; Metazoa; Chordata; Mammalia; Primates; Hominidae
Description: non-protein coding lnc-FAM217A-13:1
Source: RNAcentral